RNAcentral lists this long non-coding RNA (275 nucleotides) under Vigna radiata. Its description in RNAcentral is "long non-coding RNA (VRAD_LNC004472)". The record is from RNAcentral. Lineage: Eukaryota; Viridiplantae; Streptophyta; Magnoliopsida; Fabales; Fabaceae.
GGCCAAUAUGGAAACUGGGCUUAUGAGCUAGUGUGGAAACUGUGCUUAGGGGCCAGACAAAAUUGGGCUUAUGGGCCAGUGUGAAACUGCACUUAGGGCUAGUGUGGAACCUGGGUUUAGGGGUCAGGUAAAAUUGGGCUUAGGGGCCAGUGUGAAAACUGGGCUUAUGGGCCAGACGAAACUGGGCUUAUGGGCCAGUGUUGAAACUGGGCUUAUGGGCCAGUGUUGAAACUGGGCUUAGGGGUUGUUGGCUGCAAAACCAACGGCAAGUGCAC